Non-coding RNA from Acanthosepion pharaonis, 98 nucleotides. Lineage: Eukaryota; Metazoa; Mollusca; Cephalopoda; Sepiida; Sepiidae. The record is from the annotation of a GenBank genome assembly.
UUAAAAUACUGCUUCCCGUAUGAUCACCAAAGUUAAACAAUGUUGAGCCUGGUCAGUACUUAGAUGGGUGACUGUUUGGGAAUACUCUGUGCAGUAAG